RNAcentral lists this unclassified non-coding RNA (1687 nucleotides) under Hevea brasiliensis (rubber tree). Lineage: Eukaryota; Viridiplantae; Streptophyta; Magnoliopsida; Malpighiales; Euphorbiaceae. The record is from RNAcentral.
CUUAGUUGAGUUGAAUUGAGUUGAAUUAUUAUUCAUUAAAUUCCUCCCUUAACAAAAUUGGGACUCUCAUUCUUGAAGAGACAUCAUAUAGUUCCUAGAGAUUUUUGACAAGCAUUGAGAACUCCUAGCUCACCCAUCACUAAUUUCAUCAUCGAUAUCCGAACAAUAGAAGGUGUGAUGUAUAAAGUAAGCACUAAGCACUUUAGAGCAAGAUUUAAGAAUAAUAAAUAACUACACACUGUACAUACUUGCCCGAUAUAAAAUGCAAUUACAAUCAAAGAAUAUAAUUUUAUCAAUGAAAUAGAAUUAACAUGGGCUUAAUUUUUUCACUCCUUUCAAUUGGGACUCCAAUUCAAAAGUAAUGUGUAAAUUAAUACCUAGAGAGUUUGAUUCAUUAAUAGGAACUCUCACUCAACAAAUCAAAAUCCCAUCAUAGGUAUAAUUAACUAACAAUCCUUAUCCACAUUAAUUCAAUCUAACAAGUGAAUAUUGAUGUAAAUAUGCAUACAAUUUAUUACUCAGAUUUGCUGAAAAUCCCGCAAAGCUUCUCCUAAAAACCAGAUAUUUUCUCAAUUUUUAACAAAACACAACCUAGAUAAAAAUUAUCAUUCUGGCCUCCACAUCUAUGCACACAUCUUCUUCCUCAACUCAAACAUCAUAGAUAGAAGUAAUAAACAAAAUUAGGCUCCACUAAAAGUGGUCCUAGGUACUACAAAAGGUUUCAAUUUCAUUGAAGUAAAGGACAAAUAACUUUUAAUUGUUUUAGAAUAUUCAAUUCUCUCUUCAAUCAAUUAUUAUGCUUAUUAUUACAUUUUACUUCCUUUAUUCAUUCAUUCAUUUAUUUAUUUAUCAUACAUCUAAUUAUUCUAAAAAAGGAACAAUCAAUCAAAGCAACCUUUUAAACCAUAUUCAAAAUUAGAAACCAUACUUGCAUAGAGCAGUUUUAAAAGUGAGAAAUUGUUGAAAGCAGUGUUGUUAAAUUCGCGCCCUGCGUGGCACCGCCUAGCUUAGCUUCCGAGAGGUGAUCACCCCAACAAUAGAGGCCCUAGGCGAUGAGGCAAUGCCUUAGUGAAGUCACCUCUUAAUUAUUUUUUAACACAACAAAUUAAAAAACCCUAAGACAGAAGCUCCUAUUUUGUCACACCUCCUUUGUCUCUCUAAAAAGACCUCUCUAUCACAGUAAGUCCUCUCUCUAUCUCUCUCACAGUAACAAGUAACAACCAAGUCAAUCCUAAGGUAUGCUCAUCCUUCCUCUAUCUCUCUCUCCUCUUCUUCUUCUUCUUCUAUCCUUUAUUUCUUCUCCUCUUCUUCUAUUCUUAACACAACAGACAACACCCUACAACUUAUCUUUUUCCCUCUUUUUUUAUACUUUUUUCUUCUUUUCUCUCCUCUUCUUCUCUCUUCUUCAAUUAUGUUGUACUUUUCCCUCUCAUCUUAUGCCAUUUUUAAAAACAUAGCAGUUUUAUUUUUUUAUUUUCUUUUAUUUUAAUUGAUUUGUUAAUUUUUCCUAUUUUAAUUUGUGUUUAAUUUUUUCUAGUUGUUUAAGCUAAAUGAAAAUAUAUUGCUUCUUUUGGUUUAGGCUAAAUUAUUUAAAAGUAUGAUUUUUUUUUUUUUAAAUGUUAGAAGUGCACAUAUAUAUAAUUCAAGUAAUUUAGGUUAUGGGUGUCUUGCUUCAAAAGGGCCCUUC